CAGGUUCGCCUCUCCUUCCUAUCCCAAACAGUCACAUUCGCCAGCUGCCAAGCAACUACUGAAAAUAUAAGAAUGCUCAGAUGAUAAUUACUGAAGCAUCAUGAUAUGUAUCAUUCACAAUAUAAACAUUUUGGCCUCCUUGACCUCAAAAUAAAGCUACAUCAUGCACUGCAGGGAAUCACAUCAAGUUACAGGUAUUACACAUCCAUCAGUGCAGAGGAAGGAAGUCAGGACAGGGGCAGGGGUAAGGAAAAUUUAUAUUUUUAUACUAUUCCAUGGUAUAUUUCACAACAAGUAGGUAUUUACUCCAAAAACUACAUUUUCAAAAAGUAGUACCUAUAAUAUGCCAUACAACUAGGUAAUUUUUCCUUCAACUUCACCUUCCAUACUAAAUGGGGGUUAAGGAGCAGAGAAAGUGCAGCUUGUAAGUUUAGAGAAUACUGGAGGAAAAAUAUGCAAGGAAAAAUCUCUUUCCAAAUUAUCUCUUGCUUUGCUCAAAAAAUAUAACUGUACCAUUGUAUUUGCAUCAUUUUCAAUCAUGUCAGAUAUAAUAACUAAACUGUUAUUUUCUUACAGUUUUCAAACUGUAAGAUGAAAAAAUAAAAUUCCUAAUUAGUAAAAUAGUAAACUGUAAACCAAUCACAUUAUUAAUAAAUUUUUCCUAGAGUAUGGAAGGUGCUUGUUAUACCAGAACAUGCCCUCUAUAAAUGCAAAAGAAACAAGCCUCAGAGAUUUCGAUUCAGUAAGGUAUUUGGGGAUUGCUCCCAAUUUGGAAUUCAAAGCUAUGUACCAGAACAUAAAAUAUGCAUGCCAUUAUUCUUUUCAGAAAUUUGUUAUUAAG
This is a long non-coding RNA of Manacus vitellinus (golden-collared manakin), 841 nucleotides long. RefSeq lists it as uncharacterized. The transcript has 3 exons. The record is from RefSeq and is a predicted model, not a curated record. NCBI's taxonomy places the organism in Eukaryota, Metazoa, Chordata, Aves, Passeriformes, Pipridae.